This 230-nucleotide ribosomal RNA is filed under the name uncultured bacterium. RNAcentral's name for it is "partial 16S ribosomal RNA". It matches the Rfam family "Bacterial small subunit ribosomal RNA", at positions 562 to 791 of the family's 1533-position model. The record is from RNAcentral.
AAAGGGUGUGUAGGCGGGUAUUUAAGUCAGUGGUGAAAUCUCCGAGCUCAACUCGGAAACUGCCAUUGAUACUAUUUAUCUUGAAUAUUGUUGAGGUAGGCGGAAUAUGUCAUGUAGCGGUGAAAUGCUUAGAUAUGACAUAGAACACCGAUUGCGAAGGCAGCUUGCUAAACAAUUAUUGACGCUGAGGCACGAAAGCGUGGGGAUCAAACAGGAUUAGAUACCCUGGU